Molecule: transfer RNA, 77 nt
Filed under: Ilumatobacter sp.
Lineage: Bacteria; Bacillati; Actinomycetota; Acidimicrobiia; Acidimicrobiales; Ilumatobacteraceae
Also listed under: 2 other names
Description: tRNA-Val
Rfam family: tRNA
About the family: Transfer RNA (tRNA) molecules are approximately 80 nucleotides in length. Their secondary structure includes four short double-helical elements and three loops (D, anti-codon, and T loops).
Source: RNAcentral
GGGCGUAUAGCUCAGUUGGUUAGAGCGCCACCUUGACACGGUGGAGGUCUCCGGUUCGAGUCCGGCUACGCCCACCA